UAUGCACGCAGGAAGGACCCACAUUUCUGGAUUUUUUAAAGGAUGAAAGUAAAAGUUUCAUCUAGAGUUAGAUGCAACAGAAUAAGAUUGUAUACCUGUUUUACUGAUAUAUGAGAGAGACUUGAAGAAGGUGACCACUGCAGAGAUUGAAUCAGCAUCCUCAGCAACUUUGAAAGCACAGACACAAUCGAUCAAAACCUUGAUCGAUGGAAGAGGCACAUCAGAGACAAAAUUAAGAUAAUUGCGUCAAAAUGGCACCUCUUGAGACCUGGAAUCUGCUGACACAGAUGUUAUAAAAGACUUUUC
Molecule: long non-coding RNA, 306 nt
Filed under: Dromaius novaehollandiae (emu)
Lineage: Eukaryota; Metazoa; Chordata; Aves; Casuariiformes; Dromaiidae
Description: lncRNA (ENSDNVG00000011133.1)
Source: RNAcentral